RNAcentral lists this ribosomal RNA (611 nucleotides) under uncultured fungus. RNAcentral describes it as "eukaryotic LSU rRNA". The stretch from base 239 to 389 matches the Rfam family "5.8S ribosomal RNA". The record is from RNAcentral. Lineage: Eukaryota; Fungi.
CUUGGUCUUUAGAGGAAGUAAAAGUCGUAACAAGGUUUCCGUAGGUGAACCUGCGGAGGAUCAUUACCGAGUUAGGGUCUUAUAGGCCUGAUCUCCAACCCUUUGUUACUAUACCAUGUUGCUUUGGUGGGCCCGCUUUUCGGGGCCGCCGGGGCCUAUGCCCCUGGUCAGUGCUCGCCAGUAGCCUUAUUAAAUUCUUUCAUAUUAUGUUGUCUGAGUAUAAAUAUAAAUCGUUUAAAACUUUCAACAACGAUCUCUUGGUUCUGGCAUCGAUGAAGAACGCAGCGAAAUGUGAUAAGUAUGCGAAUUGCAGAAUUCAGUGAGUCAUCGAAUCUUUGAACGCAUAUUGCCCCUUUGGUAUUCCGAAGGGCAUGCCUGUUCGAGCGUCAUUAUCAACCACAAGCCCUGGCUUGUCGUUGGACCCCUUGCUGCUGAAAUAUACGGCAGGCCGAAAGAUAAUGACGGCGUCGUGUUUGACCCUAGAUGCAACGAGCUUUUCAUAGCACGCAUUGAAGUGGUCGGCCGACCCGGUCUUUAACCAUCAUUUCUAAGGUUGACCUCGGAUCAGGUAGGAAUACCCGCUGAACUUAAGCAUUCAAUAAGCGGAGGAA